Molecule: long non-coding RNA, 644 nt
Organism: Hemibagrus wyckioides
Lineage: Eukaryota; Metazoa; Chordata; Actinopteri; Siluriformes; Bagridae
Exons: 3
Source: RefSeq, a predicted model, not a curated record
GACGCUGUGCACGGCGCAUACCUGCGAUUUAAUUGAAACAAGGCGUCGAGGUUCUUCGCCAGAUCGUGGCUUUGCCAUUUAAGGUAAUGUUUUUGUGCUGCUCGUGCGGUUAAUGAAUCCAAGUCCUCGGCGAAAAAGCGCUCUCGACUCCUUCGCCCGAGGAAACCGUCCCUUCCCUCGCAGCUGCACCAGGAAAAAAAACGCAACAAAACUCGAACCCCACAACAUGAAACGGCGCGGGGGAGAACGCAACCGCAAUUAAAAAGGCAGGAAAGAAUAUUGCUUUGGCAUCUUAAGGUGCGCAAGUGAGCGUUCCCUGCACCUUCAUUGAACCUCAUAUUUUCUGGAGCAGAUCAGCGGAAACGGACGCCAGGGAUUUAUUCCGAGACCUUAUGACAAAAGUAAGGUCUCCUGCGUUCUCUCCUCGUCCUGGACUCAGAGCUGUAUCAGUAACCCAGAUGAGAGAGUGGAGGAGCUGAGACGCUUCAUGCAGGACGGCAUUUCAUUCGUCCGUCGCUGUGUUUUUGCAGGAGGGAUUUUAGGUGAGAAGAUGUCAGCACGUCUGGCUGGAGCUUUUACAUAAUCACAUCGAUAUUUCUAUGAUUCAGCCUCUGGCAGCGUUGGGGUUUUCACUGGUGAUGUUU